GAUGAACGCUAGCUACAGGCUUAACACAUGCAAGUCGAGGGGCAGCGGUAUCGAAGGCUUGCUUUCGGUAGCCGGAGACCGGCGCAGGGGUGAGUAACGCGUAUCGAACCUUCCUCAUACUCGGUAAUAGCGGUGCGAAAGUAAGAUUAAUGCCCGGUGUUUUCAGAGUCCCGCAUGAGGCUUUCAACAAAGAUUUAUCGGUAUGAGAUGGCGAUGCGUCCCAUUAGCUUGUUGGCGGGGUACCGGCCAACCAAGGCAUCGAUGGGUAGGGGAUCUGAGAGGAAGCCACCCUACAUUGGAACUUCGACCCGGUCCAAACUCCUACGGGAGGCAGCAGUGAGGAAGACUGUUGAAUGGGCGCAAGCCUGAACCAGCCAAGUAGCGUGAAGGAACACGCCCGUCCGGGUUGCAAUCUGCUUUUAGUUGGGAACAGCACGUGGAUCGCCCGCUCCUCUGCCUGUACCAAAAGAAUAAGGACCGGCUAAUUUCGUG
This 492-nucleotide ribosomal RNA is filed under the name uncultured bacterium. RNAcentral's name for it is "partial 16S ribosomal RNA". It matches the Rfam family "Bacterial small subunit ribosomal RNA", at positions 28 to 507 of the family's 1533-position model. The record is from RNAcentral.